UGUGAUUAAUUUAGGAGGGCAAAUCCGCUGAAUAAAACUGCUAAAAUAUAAUUAAGCGGAAGAAAAGAAAAUAACUAUGAUUCCUUUAGUAACAGCGCGUGAAAAAGGAUAAGCUCAAUUUAGAGAAUCCUUCGAUUUUUUUUUAAAGGAAUUGUUGGAAUUGUUUCUUUUUUUUAUAUAAUAUACUCUAUAUGAUAACUGUUCUUUGGAUUAUAUAUUACGUAAUGUGUAUAUACAUCUAUUUUACAGGUACACAAGAGCAAGGAUAUUAAAAAAUAUAUAGGAAAUAUAAUGGAAAAUUGUCCCAAAGAGGGUGAAAGGCCCGUACUUGUUUUUAUAUCUACCUUGUGCUUAAAUUAGAGUUAAAAAUAAAGAAUGAGUUGUGUUUUAUGAAUAUGGGACACUAAUACGUGUGAUGGAUUUCACAUAAAGCUAAAUAUGUGUAGGAGACCGAUAGCAAACAAGUACCGUAAGGGAAAGAUGAAAUAGUACUCAGGAAUGAGAAAUUAAAUAGUACCUGAAAUCGUUAAGGUGGAAAGGAUUAAGAGCGUGAAAACGUAAGGAAAUUAUUAAAAGUAUAUAUAUAUGUACACGUGCGCAUAUAUAUAUAUAUAUAUAUAUAUGUGCAUGUUUUAUAUGUAUAAGAGAAAGCUUCAACCCCUUUCUCUUUGGUAUUUUCCUUAUUAUAAUAAACAAAAGUGAAUGAAAGAAAUUUUGAAGAUUAAAGUAAUUUUUUAAAAAGAUUAAAGAA
Molecule: non-coding RNA, 751 nt
Filed under: Plasmodium falciparum FCH/4
Lineage: Eukaryota; Apicomplexa; Aconoidasida; Haemosporida; Plasmodiidae
Description: Eukaryotic large subunit ribosomal RNA
Rfam family: Eukaryotic large subunit ribosomal RNA
Source: Rfam by way of RNAcentral